RNAcentral lists this ribosomal RNA (755 nucleotides) under Oxalobacteraceae bacterium 96-4BPB. Its description in RNAcentral is "bacterial SSU rRNA". It matches the Rfam family "Bacterial small subunit ribosomal RNA", at positions 116 to 868 of the family's 1533-position model. Lineage: Bacteria; Pseudomonadati; Pseudomonadota; Betaproteobacteria; Burkholderiales; Oxalobacteraceae. The record is from RNAcentral.
UAUCGGAACGUACCCUGGAGUGGGGGAUAACGUAGCGAAAGUUACGCUAAUACCGCAUACGAUCUAAGGAUGAAAGUGGGGGAUCGCAAGACCUCAUGCUCCUGGAGCGGCCGAUAUCUGAUUAGCUAGUUGGUGGGGUAAAGGCCUACCAAGGCAUCGAUCAGUAGCUGGUCUGAGAGGACGACCAGCCACACUGGAACUGAGACACGGUCCAGACUCCUACGGGAGGCAGCAGUGGGGAAUUUUGGACAAUGGGCGAAAGCCUGAUCCAGCAAUGCCGCGUGAGUGAAGAAGGCCUUCGGGUUGUAAAGCUCUUUUGUCAGGGAAGAAACGGUGAGAGCUAAUAUCUCUUGCUAAUGACGGUACCUGAAGAAUAAGCACCGGCUAACUACGUGCCAGCAGCCGCGGUAAUACGUAGGGUGCAAGCGUUAAUCGGAAUUACUGGGCGUAAAGCGUGCGCAGGCGGUUUUGUAAGUCUGUCGUGAAAUCCCCGGGCUCAACCUGGGAAUUGCGAUGGAGACUGCAAGGCUAGAAUCUGGCAGAGGGGGGUAGAAUUCCACGUGUAGCAGUGAAAUGCGUAGAGAUGUGGAGGAACACCGAUGGCGAAGGCAGCCCCCUGGGUCAAGAUUGACGCUCAUGCACGAAAGCGUGGGGAGCAAACAGGAUUAGAUACCCUGGUAGUCCACGCCCUAAACGAUGUCUACUAGUUGUCGGGUUUUAAUUAACUUGGUAACGCAGCUAACGCGUGAAGUAGA